UAAACAUAUUUUUGGGGAAAUGUUUUGUGCUUUCUUCAAAAUAAAUGGCACUUGUUUUAACAUGUUGUUUUCAAACGCGGUGAAAUUCAUCCAUUUGUUCAUCUGACUAACUUCAUUUUCCAAAUACUGAUUAGUGUUCAUGUAGAACUGAGGAAACCAGCCCUAUACAAGCACAGCACUUCUUCUCUUUACAGGUUUUAGAUACAGAGACAGCAGAACAGCAUGGCCACUGCGAAUGAAAAAGACACAGUGUGGAUCGGGUUCAUGGAUAUCGUUCCGGUCAUCGGGAAGGUUAAAGAGGCAGUGGAGCUGGUGCUGGCUCUGUACGAAGGGAAUAAAGCGGUGAUAAAGGAGAAAGAGAAGGCCGUUGAAAACAUUGUGAAAGUGAGUCAUAUUUAAAUAUCAUAUAUUCAAAGAUUGACAGACAGUGCAGUAAAUUCUCCUAAUAUUAAAAAAAAGUCAGCCAUUAAAAACUUUGAUGUGAACUAAGCGUCAAAAACACAUAAAAAUCCUAAUACACCUUUGCUAUUAUCAGAGUUCAGUUGGAUAUAUUUAAAAAAAAAAAAAUAAUAAUAAUUUAUGAUUUUGUGUUGUUCUCCUGCAUGAACCAUCAUGUAUGACUCCUGUACUCUCUACUCUUUGUUUGUUUCCAGUUUUGAUUUUAAGGAUGUAAUCAUCUCUUAUGAGGCUCAGAGUUCCCGAAGUGAAUUAUUUUCAUACAGCAGCAUGGUCUAUCAUGUGUUAUUCUUUGCAUACAAUAUGGUAUAAUUAUUGCAUGUCACAGUGCACCAUCAUGCCAGUCUAUGUCCAGUCUAUGUCCAGUCCAUUUAAUUUUUUUAUCUUUCCAUAACUAGAAGAUGACUAAAUCAGCAGCAUUUCCAGCUGAUAAAUCAGCAGCAUUUCCAGCUGAUAAAACAGCAGCAGCUGCAGCUGAAUUUUCUGGACUCGGAAAUGUGAGAGAGGUCAGAAUGGAAAUGGUUAUUGUACAUCUGGCCCAAGCUUUCACAAGGGGAAAAAAAGUUCAAACUUCAGCUGAGCAGAAAAGUGAGCAGAAAGACAGACAGAAAAAAAUGGAGUACAUUAAGAAAGACAUGUUAGAAAAGAUCCAUAUGAUCGAUCCAAACUUCAAUGAGGAGCUGAAGGAAGAACUGAGAAGGUCACAAAGAGGCGAACAUGUCUUCAACAAUAACAUUCUUAAAUUUCAUUGCAAAGUGCUAGAUGAUUUUAUACAAGAACAAAAUAUUGAUAAUCUACAAAGAUAUAAUCCGCAGGAAAUGGAUACAUUACGCAGACAGACACUUACCCAAAAUGCAGAAGAAGAAAUUCAGACAAACAUGGUGGUUCACUUUGGUGAGGAUGAAUUCUAUGUGAAUGCAAAUGCAGUGAUAUAUGGUGUAUAUUGCAGAGCACUGCGUGGUGCUUUGUUAAAUGUGCUGCGCCACAUAAACCCAGGUGAGGUGGCAGAAGAGAAGAGACAUUGGGUGAAUUUUGUCAUAAAUACUAUGAAUAACUAUGAAAUCUAUGUGGACCAAAUGGCAAAGGUCCGUUGGAUUGCCAAUAUAGAGACUAGACGGGCCCGGUUUGAACGGGUAAAACAGGAAGUUGUGACCAUGUAUAACACAGAUCGUGGGUAUGACUGGUGCAUUAGCAUUCUGCAUGAAGUUGCAGGUUUGUUUGAACAUAGACAGUGAGUUCAUUUCUCCUGUUCAGGGUUGCCAGGUUUCCUUUCAAAAUUUCCAUCUUAACUACAUCCUAAAUCCCACAGACCUGAAACUAGCUGAAAGUUUGGACACUGGAAGAAACAAAGUUCACUGUGGUGCACACAUAUUUGUAUGUUUGCAAUGUUUCCAACACACUUAGGGUCAGAGUUUUGUCACCCAUAGCCUGUUACAACUGUUAUUUUUUAUUUUAUUUAUUUCAUUUAUUUGUACAGGGACAACGUACAACAACAGUGUCAUGCCAGAGUUAGCUAUAAAGCUAAUUUGUAUCUGCAAUCCCUGGGCAGGAUGUUCUUACAAAAUUACAAUAUUAAGUGACAAACAAUACAAUAAAUAUUACACAUACAACAUCACAUCAUACUACAUUAAAUUACAAAUCCAAGUCAAUGAUCACAUAUCUGAUUUUCCUUAAGCCAUACUUUAAGCAUAGUUGUAAAAAUACUAAGUGUUGCACACUCUCUAAUAUAAACAGGUCUUAAAUUCCAUCUUUCUGCUGCUCUAACCGAAAAAGCUGAUUGUCCAAAAAUAGUUUCUUAAAUUUAGUUGAACAGUCACCUCUAACUGAUGACCUAGUCUGCCUGAUAUUGUCCUUUCAGAAAGUCACACAUUGUUUAAGAGGUGGUGGUGCAAGAUUAUGAAAUACUUUGUACAUUAAACAGACAUCAGCAAAUAAAAAAAAAAUGUUAAAACGUCAAUCAUUUAUAAUAUAGUGAUGAUAACUUCUUGGCUUUUUAGCUAAGAUUUUCACAGCUUGUUUAUAAAUAGUAUAUAAUGGUUUUAACGUAGUUAAAAUGCAUCCACAUCUGUGUGUUUGUGGUCUGCGAGGAAAAUCGGUUGUUUCAAUAAAUUCAAUUGUAAUAGCCUUCUCUAUUAAAUCUGAACCAGUACAGAACCGGAGGAAAAGUUGAAGGGUGUUCAGAUCAAUUUCAGCAAUGUACCUUUUCAGAUAGUGUGCAACUGUUGUCUGGGGUGCUGUCAUAUCAUUUGGGAAGUGUAACAGCUCCUUCACUGCUUUUGCAGUUGUUUUUUUCUGUUUAACUGUACAAUUCAAACCAUCUAGUGGUAGCAUACUAGCUACAUGCACCAUAAUGGGACGCCAGCACUCAAUCACAUACAUUGGGGCCUGUAUUAUGGCUUUGUGCCCCAUUUGUGCUAGCAGAGGAACCAAACAGUCCUUGGUAGGCACCUGUUUGCACUCAUGUGCAUCAAGAACAUCAAACAGUUCAUCAGAGUCAACAGAGUCAAAGUCUUUCAAAACACUCAUAAUAACAGCUCUUUCUUGUUCAGACAUGUACAGCAAAAGGGAAUCUUUUAAGCUAAUGGUUGUUGUGCCAUAAAGUACUUCUUCCAGGAAUGGUGUUGCCAGUUUCACUGGUAAGUAUUUAUCUUGCUUCCAUCCUAAAACAAACCCUCUAGCUACUGCUUGCCACUCCUCACAUUGAUAAUCAUGUCUGAUGAAAGGCACUUUCACAUCCACCCCCAGAAUGCAGUGGUCAUAAAAAUCAGACCAAAAUUCUGUAAGGCUAUCUCGAAAUACACCAAUUCCUUCCCCCAUUUCAAGUUCUCCAUUUGGUAAAUGCAUCUUGAUGUUAACCUCUGUACUAAUAACUUCUGGAUUCUUAAAAGCACAGAUUAGGUCAGCGAGACAGUGCCCUCUCCUAACAAUCAGUAUUACAACAGCAGGUUGUGGUUCAUGACUUCUUUGAGGUAGAACAUCAGUGGCCCCCAAAGUGAUUUCAGCAGGCAAUGUUUCAUCCAUAAAUGGAGAAGGCAGGUCAUCUUCUCUAGCUGCAUUUUGGGUUUCAGGAUGUGGUUCAUUCAGAUGUGGAUCUUCAAUAACACCCUCACUCAGAAAAAUCACUGUUUCAGGGUCAAGAAUUUCUUCAGUUAUUUGUUGUGGGGAAUCAUCCCAUGUGUCAUUAAUUUCCCUGUCUUCACUAAUGGAAGCUCUAGUUGAGUGAGGGUCAGUAACCAAGUCAGAUUCCCUGGUUCCUUGAUUUUCACCAGUGAGAUCUAUAACGUUACUGAUGUCUUCUAAAGACUGCCUAUCUGAUUUUAUUUUGGCACACAGAUAGAGUUUUAGCAUUCGGACUUUGCUUUCACUAUACAGUUGAUCUACAGUUUUGGAUAUUUCAGUGUGCAUCUGAAAGCACUCAAUAUCAGUUGUAUAGAGUGACAUUUUUUUUUUUUUUUUUCCUUUGAAUAACCAUAUGGGAAAUUUUUUUUUUAAAAAUUCGGCCUCAGGUUUCAAAUCGUUCACUGUUUUGUUUAUGUCAGCACAGAGAUGUCUUGUUCCUCCACCAUUUAUUUAUCUCACUUGUUUGAACCGCUGCUCUUUCUCAUCAAAAUCCAUCCUUUCUAGCUCAAUGCAUCAUUCUUUCUUUCUUUUCGGCACUUAUGUUUUCUACCCAUGAAAAACUUUCCUUUGCAGGUACACUCUCAUUCCUAGAAGACAGUCUAUGUCGUAGUCUCAACAGUAUGGAUUCUUUCCUGGACUGUGCCUGAUGUGGUGCACUGGCUUGUCUACAGAAGGCCACAGUAGAGAUUCUGUCUCCAGCUUUGGGGAUGUACUUUGCCCGGUCACUGUCUGUCAUCAUAGGGAUGACAUUUUCAUCAAUCUAAAAAUAUUAUAUAUAUGUAUACACAUUAGUUACAAAACCAAAUGAUGUUCCUUAGUGUGGCCAGAUGGCAGAGGGAAGGUAUGACUUAAGUGAACUUAAAUGAAUUAAGGACCCAAAGGGUUAACAAUGCCUGACUACACCACCCUGGGAAUCUCACCCAAGGAAUUUAUUAAAGAUACUAUACACAGGUCCCCCACUCUGUGGCAAAAUAGACAAUGGAGACAGAGGUACUGGUAUAAAAAUAGAACAAUUUAUUUUGAAUUUAAUGACAACAGAAAUUGAAAACGCAUUCACUGAAAAGAAACUGGGACCACAAUUACACAAAUGGUCCAGGAAAGACAACAAUGAGGAGCUGCAGCCUGGGCUACAUGACCGGCCGUACAGGCCUUUACUCUAAGUACACUGCACACUCACACCAAUCCAAAAGCCCCAGUGCACACGGCAAAUCACAGCACUCCGUGAGGAAACACCAUCACCACCUAAAGAAAGACUUCAGCCCUGCUCUCCACACACACACACUCAAACACAAACAAAAAUAAUUAACACAAGAUUUAGGCAGGCAACACAGCUGACACUUAAUGCCUGCCAAACACACAAUAACAGAGUUAACCAAAUUAAAUCAAAACACAACUGGACCAUAUAAAUGCAAAAAAGCACUCCCACAUCACUCAACGGAUUCACAACCGCAUUAAAAUGGAAUUCAUGAAUGUUCAACCAGGAACAAGACAGCGGUGACGUCACUGCAUGCCCCAGAUAACAGGCACAGGGACCCGGGAGUCAGUAGAAGUGAAGAUAAUACUCCAUAGAUGCAAUGCGAAGUAUAGUUUCGAUUUAAUCACUCAGCCGAUGGAGCUCAGGAUACGCGAGGAAAAUAACUCAGCAUAUACAGUCGUCAUCCGCCCAUACACAGCAUUAUAUUGACUGAAUGUGGUCGCAUAUACAGAUGCGAGACACACGCCGCCACCAACAAUAAGUCAAAGCCACAAUAUCUGCAGCCACGGAGAUGACUACAGUUGCCGCAAUCGUCCUGCAAAGCCAAAAUCACAGCAGCCCUCAGUCCAUGAACCAGAAGCGAAACGGGAUCCCAGGAAGUGACGCUCGUCUAAGUCACACACGCAUGUUGUUUAUAUACACGUAAUCCAACCACCUCUAUCGGCCCCAACCAAUGAAUAAACUAAUGCCUAAUGAUGAACUUACUGAUCUCUACCUGCCACAUUAGCAUAGUUACUAUGUGGCAAAUGCAACCAUUUAUCUUUGUGUAUUAGUAAACUGCUUUGCUAUCAUUCACUGUUCAUAUUAACAUCCUCUUUAACCCUUGAUCACUGUACAAUCAAAUUUGUCCAGAAACACUAUAGCUGUUUUAAAGAAAU
Long non-coding RNA from Cyprinus carpio carpio, 5709 nucleotides. NCBI's taxonomy places the organism in Eukaryota, Metazoa, Chordata, Actinopteri, Cypriniformes, Cyprinidae. The record is from Ensembl.